This is a non-coding RNA of Arachis ipaensis, 2361 nucleotides long. NCBI's taxonomy places the organism in Eukaryota, Viridiplantae, Streptophyta, Magnoliopsida, Fabales, Fabaceae. The record is from RefSeq and is a predicted model, not a curated record.
UGGAGUUGCGGGAGCAAGAUGACUACGAGGUUGUGAGGAAGGUGGGAAGAGGGAAAUAUAUUGAGGUCUUUGAGGGCGUUCACUCCACCGAUAAUGAAAAAUGCAUCAUCAAGAUCCUCAAACUCGUCAAGAAGAAAAAGUUUCAGUAUACUUUUUCACUUCAUUCCAUCCUCAUAUGGCAAUGAAUGCUGUGCCGGGGCUUCAAUGGCCAACUUUGGUCCAGUAGUUCAUUUAGUUUGUUAUUAAAUUUCUAAUUUCAAACCUUUAAAGAGGGAGAUCAAAAUAUUGCAUAAUCUUUGUGGAGGUCCCAAUGUUAUAAAGCUGCUUGACAUUGUUAGGGACCAGCAAUCAAAGACCCCAAGCCUUAUAUUUGAAUAUGUCAAUAACACUGAUUUUAAAGUGCUCUACCCCACCCUGUCAGAUUAUGAUAUUCGAUAUUAUAUCUAUGAACUUCUAAAGGUAAGUUUUAUACUCUAUUGGUUGUCUAAGAUCAGCUGUUAUAUCUUAUUUUUGCAGUCAUUAUUUGUUUGACAUAUUUCUAGACAUUAUCUAUGCCAAUGCUUCGUGGAAAAUUCAGUUAUUAUUUUUGUAUUUUUCUUUAUGGUGAAAUAUUAGAAAGUGGUUGAGUAAUUGCUGCAUAGCUCUUUGACAGCUUCUUCUACAUUAAUCCUCUAAUAGAUGCAAUUAAAGAAUGAAUUGGUUGAGGUUUGAAAUAGGUUGUAGAGUGGCUUGUAAGGAAGUUGAUUUUGAUUUUUGAAAAUCACUUCCAUUGCUUAUAAAUAAUGCAUAGCAGGAAAAUAGACUUUUUCACUAAAUGCACUUGUAAUAUCAAUAUCUACUAAGUUGAUAUUUAGUCUUUGAAGAUAAUACAAUCAAGGCAAGGAGAUAUUGGGAACUACUACGGUGUUCAGCUUCUUGAUGCUUCAGUGACAAAAUACCAAGAUUAUGGUCACUAACAACUUACUCACCCUCUUGUGAUAUACAUUGGAGAGACACGUGGAGUGGAGGGAUUGGGUGAGAGGUUAGAGGAAAGGGUCAAAGUUCCCUUCAAAUCUGAAGGGAAGGGAAACUUCAGAACAGUGAGCUUCAAGUUCAAAGCAGUUGCACCAAGAACAAGACUCACAUUCUACAGCUCCUUUUACCAUACCAGAAUUGAUGAUUAUGGAUCUCUCUGUGGCCCUGUUCUUGACCAGGUUAUAGUGUUCUCUGUCGCAUAAGUUAUUAAACCAUUAAUGUAGUACUUAGUAACUAUGAUUUUUGCAAGUUACUUGAGCCUGUCUUCUAUAUAAUUGCACGAGACCACCUUAUAUUAAAACUUCAUCUUGCUUUUGUAUACUAAUUCCCUAUAUUUUGUUCAUGUAUGCAUUAAAUAACCUUAUACUUUCUAAACUUAUAGCUAAUUAGUUAGCAACAUCAUGAUAGUGGAAGCAACAUGUUCACUUGAGUGUGUAAUUCAAAAUAUUAAGCAAAUUAACAUCCUGAACAGAAAGGACUUGAAGAAUUCUAAAAAGAACAAUACUAAGAUUGGUAGUUACCCCUCAUAUACGCUGCCAAUGUCUGAUUAAAAUUGCAGAGUUAGCUUUUUAAGAAGCAAUGAACAUUGAAUCAUGACGGUGUAUCACGGUGUAGCGCAGGGAGGCAGUCUGAGAUCAAAUGGCUCUCCUUUUCGUCACACUCGUAUCGUACCUUUGUCGAUAUUAAGGACAAGUGGAGGAAUUUCCUCAAGGCUAGCUUUGCUCAGGCACCUGCAGAUGAAGGGAUGAACGUGCGGAAGCAUGGUAUAGCGCCAAUCCUAGAACCGAUUUUUCUACGAGUACGAGAGAUUAAAAAGGGGGCUGCUUCCGUGGAAGGAGUAGAAGCAAAAUUCUAGCAGGUACCUGAAACACUGCCUGAAGAGGUACUUGGGAAGAUGGGAGCACCUCCAAAGAGUGAUGUGCCGAUUAUUACACCCAAUGAGCUACCUGAGGUUGCUGGUUUAUUGCUUGGAUUUCCAACGAGAUUUGGACUCAUGGCUGCUCAGUUUAAGGCAUUCUUGGUUGCAACUGGAGGCCUAUGGUGUACACAGGCACUAGCAAGAAAGCCUGCUGGAAUUUUUUACAGCACCGGUUCUCAAGGAGGCGGACAGGAAACCACCUCAUAAUAUUUAUUCACACGGACAUGAACAAUGAAAAUGUUGGAAGGGUCUGUUGCAAACUUUUUGAGCAUCUCUAAGAAAACUCCCAAUGUAAUAGAACUAAUAAUAUUUCUUAGUUUGAUAUUUUGUAUAGGAAUUAUUACUUUUGAUUUGUAAUACUAAAAAAUUAUAUAUUAUGUUUAAUACUGAGUUAAAUAAUAUUUUGUCUAUGGAUUAUGAUUUUGUUA